Molecule: ribosomal RNA, 403 nt
Filed under: uncultured bacterium
Lineage: Bacteria
Description: partial 16S ribosomal RNA
Rfam family: Bacterial small subunit ribosomal RNA
Source: RNAcentral
GACGAACGCUGGCGGCGUGCCUAAUACAUGCAAGUCGAACGCAGUGGGGACGGGUGAGUAACACGUGGGUAACCGCCCAUAAGAGGGGAGAAAACUUGGAUACUGGUGCUAAACCGAUACUGAUGGAUGGACCCGAGGGGAAUUAGCUAGUUGGAGAGGUAACGGCUCACCAAGGCCACGAUGCAUAGCCGACCUGAGAGGGUGACCGGCCACACUGGGACUGAGACACGGCCCAGACUCCUACGGGAGGCAGCAGUAGGGAAUCUUCGGCAAUGGACGAAAGUCUGACCCAGCAACGCCGCGUGAGUGAAGAAGGUUUUCGGAUCGUAAAACUCUGUUGUUAGAGAAGCGUUAUCUAACCAGAAAGCCACGGCUAACUACGUGCCAGCAGCCGCGGUAAUUC